This 248-nucleotide ribosomal RNA is filed under the name uncultured bacterium. RNAcentral describes it as "partial 16S ribosomal RNA". It matches the Rfam family "Bacterial small subunit ribosomal RNA", at positions 89 to 334 of the family's 1533-position model. The record is from RNAcentral.
AGUAAAGUGGCGACCGGGUGAGUAACACGUGACUAACCUACCUUCAAGUGGGGGGAUAACCUCGGGAAACCGGGGCUAAUACCGCAUAACAUCUUUGAAGUGGAAAUUUCGAAGAUCAAAGGAGCAAUUCGCUGGAAGAGGGGGUCGCGGCUGAUUAGCUAGUUGGCGGGGUAAUGGCCCACCAAGGCUUUGAUCGGUAGCCGGCCUGAGAGGGCGCACGGCCACACUGGAACUGAAACACGGUCCAG